GGUAGCGCCUCGUGAACUCAUCUUCGGGGGUAGAGCACUGUUUCGGCUAGGGGGUCAUCCCGACUUACCAACCCGAUGCAAACUACGAAUACCGAAGAAUGUUAUCACGGGAGACACACGGCGGGUGCUAACGUCCGUCGUGAAGAGGGAAACAACCCAGACCGCCAGCUAAGGUCCCAAAGUCAUGGUUAAGUGGGAAACGAUGUGGGAAGGCCCAGACAGCCAGGAUGUUGGCUUAGAAGCAGCCAUCAUUUAAAGAAAGCGUAAUAGCUCACUGGUCGAGUCGGCCUGCGCGGAAGAUGUAACGGGGCUAAACCAUGCACCGAAGCUGCGGCAGCGACACUAUGUGUUGUUGGGUAGGGGAGCGUUCUGUAAGCCGUUGAAGGUGGCCUGUGAGGGUUGCUGGAGGUAUCAGAAGUGCGAAUGCUGACAUAAGUAACGAUAAUGCGGGUGAAAAACCCGCACGCCGGAAGACCAAGGGUUCCUGUCCAACGUUAAUCGGGGCAGGGUGAGUCGACCCCUAAGGCGAGGCCGAAAGGCGUAGUCGAUGGGAAACAGGUUAAUAUUCCUGUACUUGGUGUUACUGCGAAGGGGGGACGGAGAAGGCUAUGUUGGCCGGGCGACGGUUGUCCCGGUUUAAGCAUGUAGGCGGAUGUUCCAGGUAAAUCCGGAACGUUAUUAACGCUGAGGUGUGAUGACGAGGCACUACGGUGCUGAAGUGACAAAUGCCCUGCUUCCAGGAAAAGCCUCUAAGCAUCAGGUAACAUCAAAUCGUACCCCAAACCGACACAGGUGGUCAGGUAGAGAAUACCAAGGCGCUUGAGAGAACUCGGGUGAAGGAACUAGGCAAAAUGGUGCCGUAACUUCG
RNAcentral lists this ribosomal RNA (868 nucleotides) under Klebsiella oxytoca. RNAcentral describes it as "partial 23S ribosomal RNA". It matches the Rfam family "Bacterial large subunit ribosomal RNA", at positions 873 to 1738 of the family's 2925-position model. The record is from RNAcentral. Lineage: Bacteria; Pseudomonadati; Pseudomonadota; Gammaproteobacteria; Enterobacterales; Enterobacteriaceae.